AUGACAUCCUUUCACAUAUUUAUACAUGGCAGCUCUUACUGUAUAUACUCAGGUGAGGGUCCUGGUUGGCUUAUAUUUGGGUCAUCUUAUACUCGAGAAUAUAUGGUACAUUUAUUAUUUUUCUCUAUUAUUGUUGCUACUACUAUUACAUUUAUUUUACUCUAUUUUUAUUAUUAUUAAUAAUACAUUUAUUAUUUCACUCUGAUAUUAUUAAUAUUGCAUUUAUUAUUUUAUUCUAUGUAUUAUUACAUGUAUUAUUUUCCUAUAUUUCUUCUUAUUAUUAUUACAUAUAUUAUUUUACUCUAUUAUUAUUAAAAGGAUACAUAAGCACAUUUACAUUGAAGAAGAUGAAAAUACAAUAAUGAUUUAAUCAGAGUUGAACAGUCAUAUCUUAAAUUACAAUUUGAUGUAAAGAUUCAAAAACAUUUAAACUACUGAUGCCUCAAUUCAUGUAAUUUUAUUGGUGCAGUAGAGUCUCACUUAUCCAACAUUCGCUUAUCUAAUGUUCUGGAUUAUCCAACACAUUUUUGUAAUCAAUGUUUUCAAUACAUCGUGAUAUUUUGGUGCUAAAUUCGUAAAUACAGUAAUUACUACAUAGCAUUACUGUGUAUUGAACUACUUUUUCUGUCCAAAUUGUUGUAUAACAUGAUGUUUUGGUGCUUAAUUUGUAAAAUCAUAACCUAAUUUGAUGUUUAAUAGGCUUCUCCUUAAUCUCUCCUUAUUAUCCAACAUAUUCGCUUAUCCAACGUUCUGCCGCCCCGUUUAUGUUGGAUAAGUGAGAUUUUACUGUAUCUAUUUUUAUUUCUGAAAUUUCCCACCCUCGGCUUAUACUGGAAUCAAUGUUUUCCCAGGUUUUUUAAUGGUAAAAUUAGGUGCCUCGGCUUAUAUUUGAGUCAGCUUAUACUCGAGUAUAUACGGUAUGUCUCUUCUCAACCUUCUCUUCUGCAGGCUAAACAUACCCAGUUCUUUCAGACACUCCUCAUAGGACAUAGAUCUUGGAUCCUUUUAGUUGGCGUCCUCUGGCAACUAUAUCUCUUUUGAACUGUGGUGCGCAGAAUUGGACACAGUAUUCCAGGUGAGGUUCAACCAAAGCAGAAUAGAGGAUCACCAUGACUUCCCUCAAUCUAAUCACUAGACUCCUUUUGAUGCAGCCUAAAAUCCCAUUGGCUUUUUAGCUGCUGCAUAACACUGUUGGCUCAUGUUCGACUUGUUGUCCACUAAGACUCCAAGAUCUUUUUCACAUGGACUGUUGUCCAGUCAGACGUCACUCAUUCUAUAUCUUUGAAUCUCAUUUGUUCUGCCUAAGUGUAGUAUUUUACAUUUGUCCUUAUUGAAAUUCAUUUUGUUUGUUUUGGCCCAGCUCUCUAAUCUGUUAAGGUCAUUUUGAAUUUUGAUCCUGUCCUCUGGAGUAUUAGCCAUCCCUCCCAAUUUGGUGUCAUCUGCAAACUUGAUAAGCAUACCCUCUAAACCAGGGGUCCCCAAACUAAGGCCCGGGGGCCGGAUGCGGCCCAUCGAAGCCAUUUAUCUGGCCCCCAUG
This 1537-nucleotide long non-coding RNA is filed under the name Anolis carolinensis (green anole). RNAcentral describes it as "lncRNA (ENSACAG00000043430.1)". Lineage: Eukaryota; Metazoa; Chordata; Lepidosauria; Squamata; Anolidae. The record is from RNAcentral.